This 496-nucleotide ribosomal RNA is filed under the name uncultured bacterium. RNAcentral describes it as "partial 16S ribosomal RNA". It matches the Rfam family "Bacterial small subunit ribosomal RNA", at positions 28 to 506 of the family's 1533-position model. The record is from RNAcentral.
GAUGAACGCUGGCGGCGUGCCUAAUACAUGCAAGUCGAGCGAACGGACGAGAAGCUUGCUUCUCUGAUGUUAGCGGCGGACGGGUGAGUAACACGUGGAUAACCUACCUAUAAGACUGGGAUAACUUCGGGAAACCGGAGCUAAUACCGGAUAAUAUUUUGAACCGCAUGGUUCAAAAGUGAAAGACGGUCUUGCUGUCACUUAUAGACGGAUCCGCGCUGCAUUAGCUAGUUGGUAAGGUAACGGCUUACCAAGGCAACGAUGCAUAGCCGACCUGAGAGGGUGAUAGGCCACACUGGACCUAGGACACGGUCCAGACCCCAAGGGGAGGCAGCAGGAGGAAAUCUGCCGCAAGGGGCGAAAGCUUAACGGGGCAUCGCCGCGUGGGUGAUGAAGGUCUCCGGAUCGUAAACCUCUGUUAUUAGGGAAAAACAUAUGUGUAAGUAACUGUGCACAUCUGAACGGUCCCUAAUCAGAAGGCCACGGUAAACUCCGG